CACUUGUUCUCUAAAUAGGGACUUGUAUGAAUGGCCACACGAGGGUUUUACUGUCUCUUACUUCCAAUCAGUGAAAUUGACCUUCCCGUGAAGAGGCGGGAAUAUAUUAAUAAGACGAGAAGACCCUAUGGAGCUUUAACUACUUAGCCCAAAAGAAACAAAUUUCAUUACUAAGGAAACAACAACACUCUUUAUGGGCUAACAGCUUUGGUUGGGGUGACCUCGGAGAACAAGAAAUCCUCCGAGCGAUUUUAAAGACUAGACCUACAAGUCGAAUCACACAAUCGUUUAUUGAUCCAAAAAAUUGAUCAACGGAACAAGUUACCCUAGGGAUAACAGCGCAAUCCUAUUCAAGAGUCCAUAUCGACAAUAGGGUUUACGACCUCGAUGUUGGAUCAGGACAUCCCGAUGGUGCAACCGCUAUCAAAGGUUCGUUUGUUCAACGAUUAAAGUCCU
This 456-nucleotide ribosomal RNA is filed under the name Cervus nippon (sika deer). RNAcentral's name for it is "partial large subunit ribosomal RNA". It matches the Rfam family "Bacterial large subunit ribosomal RNA", at positions 1966 to 2597 of the family's 2925-position model. The record is from RNAcentral. Lineage: Eukaryota; Metazoa; Chordata; Mammalia; Artiodactyla; Cervidae.